GUUUCCUACGGGACGCAGCAGUGAGGAAUAUUGGUCAAUGGUCGGGAGACUGAACCAGCCAAGCCGCGUGAGGGAUGAAGGUACAGAGUAUCGUAAACCUCUUUUGUCAGGGAACAAAGGCGGGGACGUGUCCCCGGAUGAGUGUACCUGAAGAAAAAGCAUCGGCUAACUCCGUGCCAGCAGCCGCGGUAAUACGGAGGAUGCGAGCGUUAUCCGGAUUUAUUGGGUUUAAAGGGUGCGCAGGCGGUCUGUUAAGUCAGCGGUAAAAUUGCGGGGCUCAACCCUGGCGAGCCGUUUGAACUGGG
RNAcentral lists this ribosomal RNA (305 nucleotides) under uncultured bacterium. Its description in RNAcentral is "bacterial SSU rRNA". It matches the Rfam family "Bacterial small subunit ribosomal RNA", at positions 334 to 637 of the family's 1533-position model. The record is from RNAcentral.